UACAGAGGGUGCGAGCGUUGUUCGGAAUUAUUGGGCGUAAAGCGCGUGUAGGCGGUCUGUUAUGUCGGGUGUGAAAGCCCCUCAGCUUAACUGAGGAAGUGCGCCCGAAACUGGCAGACUUGAGUGCCGGAGAGGAUAGCGGAACACCCGGUGUAGAGGUGAAAUUCGUAGAUAUCGGGUAGAACACCAGUGGCGAAGGCGGCUAUCUGGACGGACACUGACGCUGAGACGCGAAAGCG
Molecule: ribosomal RNA, 239 nt
Filed under: uncultured bacterium
Lineage: Bacteria
Description: partial 16S ribosomal RNA
Rfam family: Bacterial small subunit ribosomal RNA
Source: RNAcentral